GAAUCUGCCUUAUAGUGGGGGACAACCUGGGGAAACCCAGGCUAAUACCGCAUACGCCCUUCGGGGGAAAGGCUUCGGCCGCUAUUAGAUGAGCCUAUGUCUGAUUAGCUUGUUGGUGGGGUAAUGGCCUACCAAGGCGACGAUCAGUAGCUGGUCUGAGAGGACGAUCAGCCACACUGGGACUGAGACACGGCCCAGACUCCUACGGGAGGCAGCAGUGGGGAAUAUUGGACAAUGGGCGAAAGCCUGAUCCAGCAAUGCCGCGUGUGUGAAGAAGGCCUGCGGGUUGUAAAGCACUUUCAGAUGGGAAGAUAAUCACGGUACCAUCAGAAGAAGCACCGGCUAACUCUGUGCCAGCAGCCGCGGUAAUACAGAGGGUGCAAGCGUUAAUCGGAAUUACUGGGCGUAAAGCGCGCGUAGGCGGUUUGUUAAGUCGGAUGUGAAAGCCCUGGGCUCAACCUGGGAACUGCAUUCGAUACUGGCAGGCUAGAGUAUGGUAGAGGGAAGUGGAAUUCCGGGUGUAGCGGUGAAAUGCGUAGAUAUCCGGAGGANCAUCAGUGGCGAANGCGGCUUCCUGGACCAAUACUGAC
RNAcentral lists this ribosomal RNA (590 nucleotides) under uncultured bacterium. RNAcentral's name for it is "bacterial SSU rRNA". It matches the Rfam family "Bacterial small subunit ribosomal RNA", at positions 122 to 744 of the family's 1533-position model. The record is from RNAcentral.